This 1887-nucleotide long non-coding RNA is filed under the name Daphnia pulex (common water flea). RNAcentral's name for it is "uncharacterized LOC124201980, transcript variant X1". Lineage: Eukaryota; Metazoa; Arthropoda; Branchiopoda; Diplostraca; Daphniidae. The record is from RNAcentral.
GUAAGAAAAAGUGGCAAGAACUCGAGAGUCGAGAUUUAUUGUGGCCACUCACACCGAGCAAGGAGAUGCUUUGUUAAUUGUUAGACUCGUAGUUUCAGCAAAUAUUCGUCUGCUAGACAGAGAAAGCGUUAAGCGUGUCACGAAAUUCUUUACUGUGUCGUGUUCUUUAUUCUCAUUCUUUACUAUUCAUGAAAAAAGGCAACCGCAAUUGCUACCUGUAAGUCGAAAAAAGCAUCACACAUCCCUACCUCCUACUACCACUGCUCUUAAUUACAACACGGAGUUUUCAUCUUGAGAUUGAUUGGCAGUUUCUUCAGGAAGACGAGAAGAAGGAGAUGAUGAUUUUGCCAAGGAGAAUAUUGAAUCUAGAAUCUAGAUGGCUAUAUCCUAUAUCCUUAAGAUGAAUCUCCAAUUCAACACACUACGGCCAAAUGGUUAUGGGACCAAGAAUUUAUUCGCAAUUUUAGUGUCGCCGAUUCGCCAAUUAUUUUUUCUGCCAUUUGCAUCGCAUCGGACUCGAACAUUACCGCAAUGAACCGAAACUAGAACUCUAUUAUGUUGCCAGAAGGGACAAAAGACCAGGAGAUCGUGUCUUUGUGAGAAUGGUCCUAGUUCCCCCCAGUCAGUCAAGUUGAACAAAUUGCGUCGGAGCCGGGAACUUAUUGUGGUUAUUCCAUGGAAAUUGGUAGAUUUGGAAGUCGACGAGUAGUUUGGUUCGUGGAUCGAAUCAUUCGUUCGACUGAAAUGUAUCUCUGUUCUCUCGGAUAACCCGGCUCAACAACUCACAUAUCUCGUCCAGGAUCAACUCGCUUAUUCACUCAUUUGGGGAUCCAGCGAAGAAAACCUUUAUUCCGCAGCGAAAUUUUCCAAUGUCGUACCAUACGAGGUCGUCAGAAUUCAGCAUAGGAAAAAUCCACACUGCUUCGGUCAAUUUGCUGGACAGUAUUCCGGUAAUUGGUAAAAGAUUCGUUAGGGUGCGCAUAAAGUCGCAUUUCCGACUUAUGCGUCAGACAGUUGGCGUAUUGGCCCAGCCAAAACCAUCUUAGCCAACGGCAUGGGCAAUAGUAACAAUUGUUCCAUGAUCGCUGGAAAUCUGAUUGACGGCGAUGGGUUCUUCGGUUCUUCCACAUCUAGUUUUAGUGAUGGUUUUGCCAUCUCUCAUUUAUCGGUCUAUUACAGCAGUAACAACGCUCGAGAAACAACGGCGUACAAGAUUGUCCCACGUUUACCUUGGUCUGUGUAUCUCAGGGGUGUUUUGUUUUCUUUUAAAUGUUACAGGACAUUAGUGUACGUAAGAACAGACAGUCAUGGGAAAUGGUAGGAGAUAACAUGGAGGGGGACAUGAGAAGAGAAUAGGAGUCAAACCCAGAACCUUCAAAACUAGGUGCAAUAGAAAAAACAAGAACGAAUUAUAAGGCAAUCUUCCAAAAAUCGCUCACGCUGUGGGUUCAUUUCGGCACCUCGGAUGAAAAGGAACGAAAACUUUAGAGCGGAAUCACCCAAAUGUUUCUCAAAAGAUUGCUGACCCUCUGGACUCUGAUAAUCGCCAUCGAAUCAGAUUCUGCUAAUUUUGCCUUGUAACGCUUUCUUGUUUGUACUUUUACAUUUUGAUUUAUUGUAACAUUUCCGGAUUCGAAUUGAAUUCAAAAGCAAGGUUUUUCUCAUGUUUAUUGUUAAUUAUUUCACAUCCGGUUCAAAGAUUCAAUCACUCUGAUUCAAUUAUUAAUUCUGAAUAUUCUGAUAAUUCUGUUAAAUUUUUGCAUGUAAAUUUAGGAUUUUGUGUGGCAACCCCGAAUGUUUUGUUUUUUGUCUUGUAAGCAUACUUCUAAGCUUAAUUGUUUUGUUCAGUCAGCAGGGCAGUUUCAGUUAAUACAACUCGUGAAAAGU